GCGUGAGGUUGCCUUAGGGCUUCGAAGUUCUAUGAUGGCAAUUGUUACCUGCUUGAUUGGAUUGCAAUUCGGGCACGUCAUCAUACACUUUAAGGAUCACAAGGAGAGGAUUGUGC
Molecule: long non-coding RNA, 116 nt
Organism: Zingiber officinale
Lineage: Eukaryota; Viridiplantae; Streptophyta; Magnoliopsida; Zingiberales; Zingiberaceae
Exons: 3
Source: RefSeq, a predicted model, not a curated record